Molecule: ribosomal RNA, 464 nt
Filed under: uncultured bacterium
Lineage: Bacteria
Description: partial 16S ribosomal RNA
Rfam family: Bacterial small subunit ribosomal RNA
Source: RNAcentral
GACGAACGCUGGCGGCGUGCUUAACACAUGCAAGUCGAACGGUAAGUCCCCAGCUUGCUGCGGUACACUAGUGGCGAACGGGGAAGUAACACGUGGGUUACCUGCCCCUCACUUCGGGAUAAGCUUGGGCAACUGGGUCUAAUACCGGAUAGGACCGCACCCCUAUGGUUGGGUGGGAAGUUGUUCGGUGUGGUAUUGGCCCGCGGCCUAUCCGCUUGGUGGUGGGGUAAUGGGCUAGCAAGGCGGCGACGGGUAGCAGGCCUGGGAGGGUGGACGGCCACAUUGGGACUGAGACACGGCACAGACUCCUCUGGGACGCGGCAGUGGGGAAUAUUGUACAAUGGGCGGAAGCCUGAUGCAGCGCAGCAGCGUGGGGGAUGACGGCAUUCGGGUUGUAAACUACUUUCCCCAUCGACGAAGGUUUUAUGACGGUAGCUGGAGAAGAAGCUCCGGCUAACUACGUG